This 497-nucleotide ribosomal RNA is filed under the name uncultured bacterium. RNAcentral's name for it is "partial 16S ribosomal RNA". It matches the Rfam family "Bacterial small subunit ribosomal RNA", at positions 28 to 507 of the family's 1533-position model. The record is from RNAcentral.
GAUGAACGCUGGCGGCGUGCCUAAUACAUGCAAGUCGAGCGAACAGACGAGGAGCUUGCUCCUCUGACGUUAGCGGCGGACGGGCGAGUAACACGUGGAUAACCUACCUCUAAGACUGGGAUAACUUCGGGAAACCGGAGCUAAUACCGGAUAAUAUAUUGAACCGCAUGGUUCAAUAGUGAAAGACGGUUUUGCUGUCACUUAUAGCUGGAUCCGCGUCGCAUUAGCUAGUUGGUAAGGUAACGGCUUACCAAGGCAACGGUGCGUAGCCGACCUGAGAGGGGGAUCGGCCAAACGGGAAAUGAGAAACGGUCCCGACACCGAAGGGGGGCAAAGGUGGGGAAUAUUUGCGGAAGGGGGAAAGCCUGAGCGAGACAAAGCGGGGGGAGGAAGAAGGGUUUAGGGUUGGAAAACCCUUUUUUUGGGAAAAAAAAAAAGGUGGAAAAAACUCGGCAGUUUUGACGGUACCCAAAGAAGAAGCCCAGGCUAAAUUAGGG